AGUGAACGCUGGCGGUAGGCCUAACACAUGCAAGUCGAACGGCAGCACAGUAAGAGCUUGCUCUUACGGGUGGCGAGUGGCGGACGGGUGAGGAAUACAUCGGAAUCUACUUUUUCGUGGGGGAUAACGUAGGGAAACUUACGCUAAUACCGCAUACGACCUACGGGUGAAAGCAGGGGAUCUUCGGACCUUGCGCGAUUGAAUGAGCCGAUGUCGGAUUAGCUAGUUGGCGGGGUAAAGGCCCACCAAGGCGACGAUCCGUAGCUGGUCUGAGAGGAUGAUCAGCCACACUGGAACUGAGACACGGUCCAGACUCCUACGGUAGGCAGCAGUGGGGAAUAUUGGACAAUGGGCGCAAGCCUGAUCCAGCCAUACCGCGUGGGUGAAGAAGGCCUUCGGGUUGUAAAGCCCUUUUGUUGGGAAAGAAAAGCAGCAGGUUAAUACCCCGCUGUUCCGACGGUACCCAAAGAAUAAGCACCGGCUAACUUCGUG
RNAcentral lists this ribosomal RNA (492 nucleotides) under uncultured bacterium. RNAcentral describes it as "partial 16S ribosomal RNA". It matches the Rfam family "Bacterial small subunit ribosomal RNA", at positions 29 to 507 of the family's 1533-position model. The record is from RNAcentral.